GGAGGUUUAGCUCAGCUGGGAGAGCAUCUGCCUUACAAGCAGAGGGUCAGCGGUCGAUCCGUUAACCUCCA
Molecule: transfer RNA, 71 nt
Filed under: Listeria monocytogenes
Lineage: Bacteria; Bacillati; Bacillota; Bacilli; Caryophanales; Listeriaceae
Description: tRNA-Val
Rfam family: tRNA
About the family: Transfer RNA (tRNA) molecules are approximately 80 nucleotides in length. Their secondary structure includes four short double-helical elements and three loops (D, anti-codon, and T loops).
Source: RNAcentral